Molecule: ribosomal RNA, 482 nt
Filed under: uncultured bacterium
Lineage: Bacteria
Description: partial 16S ribosomal RNA
Rfam family: Bacterial small subunit ribosomal RNA
Source: RNAcentral
UGGGGAAUAUUGCACAAUGGGCGCAAGCCUGAUGCAGCAACGCCGCGUGAGGGACGACGGCCUUCGGGUUGUAAACCUCUUUUAGUAGGGAAGAAGCGAAAGUGACGGUACCUGCAGAAAAAGCACCGGCUAACUACGUGCCAGCAGCCGCGGUAAUACGUAGGGUGCGAGCGUUGUCCGGAAUUAUUGGGCGUAAAGAGCUUGUAGGCGGUCUGUCGCGUCUGCUGUGAAAACCCGAGGCUCAACCUCGGGCCUGCAGUGGGUACGGGCAGACUAGAGUGCGGUAGGGGAGAAUGGAAUUCCUGGUGUAGCGGUGGAAUGCGCAGAUAUCAGGAGGAACACCGAUGGCGAAGGCAGUUCUCUGGGCCGUAACUGACGCUGAGGAGCGAAAGCGUGGGGAGCGAACAGGAUUAGAUACCCUGGUAGUCCACGCCGUAAACGUUGGGCGCUAGAUGUGGGGACCAUUCCACGGUUUCCGUGUC